RNAcentral lists this ribosomal RNA (497 nucleotides) under uncultured bacterium. Its description in RNAcentral is "partial 16S ribosomal RNA". It matches the Rfam family "Bacterial small subunit ribosomal RNA", at positions 28 to 507 of the family's 1533-position model. The record is from RNAcentral.
GAUGAACGCUGGCGGCGUGCCUAAUACAUGCAAGUCGAGCGAACAGACGAGGAGCUUGCUCCUCUGACGUUAGCGGCGGACGGGUGAGUAACACGUGGAUAACCUACCUAUAAGACUGGGAUAACUUCGGGAAACCGGCGCUAAUACCGGAUAAUAUAUUGAACCGCAUGGUUCAAUAGUGAAAGACGGUUUUGCUGUAACUUAUAGAUGGAUCCGCGCCGCAUUAGCUAGUUGGUAAGGUAACGGCUUACCAAGGCAACGAUGCGUAGCCGACCUGAGAGGGUGAUAGGCCACACUGGAACUGAGACAGGGUCCAGACUCCUACGAGAGGCAGCAGUAGGGAAUCUUACGCAAUGGGCGAAAGCUUGACGGAGCAACGCCGCGUGAGUGAUGAAGGUCUUCGGAUCGUAAAACUCUGUUAUUAGGGAAGAACAAAUGUGGAAGUAACUAUGCACGUCGUGACGGUACCGAAUCAGAAAGCCACGGCUAACUACGUG